Molecule: transfer RNA, 67 nt
Filed under: Tomopterna cryptotis
Lineage: Eukaryota; Metazoa; Chordata; Amphibia; Anura; Pyxicephalidae
Description: tRNA-Tyr
Rfam family: tRNA
About the family: Transfer RNA (tRNA) molecules are approximately 80 nucleotides in length. Their secondary structure includes four short double-helical elements and three loops (D, anti-codon, and T loops).
Source: RNAcentral
GGUAAAGUGGCCGAGUAGGUGGUGGGUUGUAGCCCCAAAGACAGAGGUUUGAGCCCUCUCUUUACCA